GGGAGGGGUUGUUACCUUGGAGACACGUGAUGGGGGGAGGGGUUGGUUACCUUGGAGACACGUGAUGGGGGGUGGUUACCUUGGAGACACGUGAUGUGGGGGGAGGAGUUGGUUACCUUGGAGAUGAAGAUGGUGUUGAUCUUGGGGUUGUGUUUAAAGUUCUGCAGGAUCUGCAUCCUCUCUCCCUGAGAGGCGAGACAGGUUAGAUAUGGGGCCUGAGAGGAGAGACAGGUUAGAUAUGGGGCCUGAGAGGAGAGAGAGACGUUAGAUAUGGGGCCUGAGGUACGAGGUAAUAACAUGGCUAUAUACACAUGGUACCAGUACUGAGUCAAUGUGCUGAGGUAUGACGUAAUAACAUGGAUAUAUACACAUGGUACCAGUACUGAGGUACGAGGUAAUAACAUGGCUAUAUACACAUGGUACCAGUACUGAGGUA
RNAcentral lists this long non-coding RNA (436 nucleotides) under Salmo salar (Atlantic salmon). RNAcentral's name for it is "lncRNA (ENSSSAG00000082695.1)". The record is from RNAcentral. Lineage: Eukaryota; Metazoa; Chordata; Actinopteri; Salmoniformes; Salmonidae.